GACGAACGCUGGCGGCGUGCCUAAUACAUGCAAGUAGAACGCUGAAGGAGGAGCUUGCUCUUCUGGACGAGUUGCGAACGGGUGAGUAACGCGUAGGUAACCUGCCUGGUAGCGGGGGAUAACUAUUGGAAACGAUAGCUAAUACCGCAUAACAGUAGAUGUUGCAUGACAUUUGCUUAAAAGGUGCAAUUGCACCACUACCAGAUGGACCUGCGUUGUAUUAGCUAGUUGGUGGGGUAACGGCUCACCAAGGCGACGAUACAUAGCCGACCUGAGAGGGUGAUCGGCCACACUGGGACUGAGACACGGCCCAGACUCCUACGGGAGGCAGCAGUAGGGAAUCUUCGGCAAUAGACGGAAGUCUGACCGAGCAACGCCGCGUGAGUGAAGAAGGUUUUCGGAUCGUAAAGCUCUGUUGUAAGAGAAGAACGAGUGUGAGAGUGGAAAGUUCACACUGUGACGGUAUCUUACCAGAAAGGGACGGCUAACUACGUG
This 495-nucleotide ribosomal RNA is filed under the name uncultured bacterium. RNAcentral's name for it is "partial 16S ribosomal RNA". It matches the Rfam family "Bacterial small subunit ribosomal RNA", at positions 28 to 507 of the family's 1533-position model. The record is from RNAcentral.